AGUGAACGCUGGCGGUAGGCCUAACACAUGCAAGUCGAACGGCAGCACAGUAAGAGCUUGCUCUUACGGGUGGCGAGUGGCGGACGGGUGAGGAAUACAUCGGAAUCUACUUUUUCGUGGGGGAUAACGUAGGGAAACUUACGCUAAUACCGCAUACGACCUACGGGUGAAAGCAGGGGAUCUUCGGACCUUGCGCGAUUGAAUGAGCCGAUGUCGGAUUAGCUAGUUGGCGGGGUAAAGGCCCACCAAGGCGACGAUCCGUAGCUGGUCUGAGAGGAUGAUCAGCCACACUGGAACUGAGACACGGUCCAGACUCCUACGGGAGGCAGCAGUGGGGAAUAUUGGACAAUGGGCGCGAGCCUGAUCCAGCCAUACCGCGUGGGUGAAGAAGGCCUUCGGGUUGUAAAGCCCUUUUGUUGGGAAAGAAAAGCAGCAGGUUAAUACCCCGCUGUUCUGACGGUACCCAAAGAAUAAGCAACGGCUAACUUCGUG
RNAcentral lists this ribosomal RNA (492 nucleotides) under uncultured bacterium. Its description in RNAcentral is "partial 16S ribosomal RNA". It matches the Rfam family "Bacterial small subunit ribosomal RNA", at positions 29 to 507 of the family's 1533-position model. The record is from RNAcentral.